GAUGAACGCUGGCGGCGUGCCUAAUACAUGCCAGUCGAGCGAACGGACGAGAAGCUUGCUUCUCUGAUGUUAGCGGCGGACGGGUGAGUAACACGUGGAUAACCUACCUAUAAGACUGGGAUAACUUCGGGAAACCGGAGCUAAUACCGGAUGAUAUUUUGAACCGCAUGGUUCAAAAGUGAAAGACGGUCUUGCUGUCACUUAUAGAUGGAUCCGCGCUGCAUUAGCUAGUUGGUAAGGUAACGGCUUACCAAGGCGACGAUGCAUAGCCGACGUGAGAGAGUGAUAGGCGACCCUGGAACUGAGCCACGGUCCAGGCUCCUACGGGAGGCAGCAGUAGGGAAUCUUCCGCAAUGGGCGAAAGCCUGACGGAGCAACGCCGCGUGAGUGAUGAAGGUCUUCGGAUCGUAAAACUCUGUUAUUAGGGAAGAACAUAUGUGUAAGUAACUGUGGACAUCUUGACGGUACCUAAUCAGAAAGCCACGGCUAACUACGUG
RNAcentral lists this ribosomal RNA (497 nucleotides) under uncultured bacterium. Its description in RNAcentral is "partial 16S ribosomal RNA". It matches the Rfam family "Bacterial small subunit ribosomal RNA", at positions 28 to 507 of the family's 1533-position model. The record is from RNAcentral.